AAUAGAUACCCAGGUAGUCCACGCCCUAAACGAUGCGAACUGGAUGUUGGGUUCAACUUGGAACCCAGUAUCGAAGCUAACGCGUUAAGUUCGCCGCCUGGGGAGUACGGUCGCAAGACUGAAACUCAAAGGAAUUGACGGGGGCCCGCACAAGCGGUGGAGUAUGUGGUUUAAUUCGAUGCAACGCGAAGAACCUUACCUGGUCUUGACAUCCACGGAACUUUCCAGAGAUGGAUUGGUGCCUUCGGGAACCGUGAGACAGGUGCUGCAUGGCUGUCGUCAGCUCGUGUCGUGAGAUGUUGGGUUAAGUCCCGCAACGAGCGCAACCCUUGUCCUUAGUUGCCAGCACGUAAUGGUGGGAACUCUAAGGAGACCGCCGGUGACAAACCGGAGGAAGGUGGGAUGACGUCAAGUCAUCAUGGCCCUUAGACCAGGGCUACACACGUACUACAAUGGGAAGGACAGGGGGCUGCAAUCCCGGCAGGGGGAGCCAAUCCCAGGAAACCUUCUCUCAGUCCGGAUCGGAGUCUGCAACUCGACUCCGUG
This 546-nucleotide ribosomal RNA is filed under the name uncultured bacterium. Its description in RNAcentral is "bacterial SSU rRNA". It matches the Rfam family "Bacterial small subunit ribosomal RNA", at positions 777 to 1322 of the family's 1533-position model. The record is from RNAcentral.